RNAcentral lists this ribosomal RNA (1413 nucleotides) under Klebsiella sp. RNAcentral describes it as "bacterial SSU rRNA". It matches the Rfam family "Bacterial small subunit ribosomal RNA". Lineage: Bacteria; Pseudomonadati; Pseudomonadota; Gammaproteobacteria; Enterobacterales; Enterobacteriaceae. The record is from RNAcentral.
CAUGCAAGUCGAGCGGUAGCACAGAGAGCUUGCUCUCGGGUGACGAGCGGCGGACGGGUGAGUAAUGUCUGGGAAACUGCCUGAUGGAGGGGGAUAACUACUGGAAACGGUAGCUAAUACCGCAUAACGUCGCAAGACCAAAGUGGGGGACCUUCGGGCCUCAUGCCAUCAGAUGUGCCCAGAUGGGAUUAGCUAGUAGGUGGGGUAAUGGCUCACCUAGGCGACGAUCCCUAGCUGGUCUGAGAGGAUGACCAGCCACACUGGAACUGAGACACGGUCCAGACUCCUACGGGAGGCAGCAGUGGGGAAUAUUGCACAAUGGGCGCAAGCCUGAUGCAGCCAUGCCGCGUGUAUGAAGAAGGCCUUCGGGUUGUAAAGUACUUUCAGCGAGGAGGAAGGCAUUAAGGUUAAUAACCUUGGUGAUUGACGUUACUCGCAGAAGAAGCACCGGCUAACUCCGUGCCAGCAGCCGCGGUAAUACGGAGGGUGCAAGCGUUAAUCGGAAUUACUGGGCGUAAAGCGCACGCAGGCGGUCUGUCAAGUCGGAUGUGAAAUCCCCGGGCUCAACCUGGGAACUGCAUUCGAAACUGGCAGGCUAGAGUCUUGUAGAGGGGGGUAGAAUUCCAGGUGUAGCGGUGAAAUGCGUAGAGAUCUGGAGGAAUACCGGUGGCGAAGGCGGCCCCCUGGACAAAGACUGACGCUCAGGUGCGAAAGCGUGGGGAGCAAACAGGAUUAGAUACCCUGGUAGUCCACGCCGUAAACGAUGUCGACUUGGAGGUUGUGCCCUUGAGGCGUGGCUUCCGGAGCUAACGCGUUAAGUCGACCGCCUGGGGAGUACGGCCGCAAGGUUAAAACUCAAAUGAAUUGACGGGGGCCCGCACAAGCGGUGGAGCAUGUGGUUUAAUUCGAUGCAACGCGAAGAACCUUACCUACUCUUGACAUCCAGAGAACUUAGCAGAGAUGCUUUGGUGCCUUCGGGAACUCUGAGACAGGUGCUGCAUGGCUGUCGUCAGCUCGUGUUGUGAAAUGUUGGGUUAAGUCCCGCAACGAGCGCAACCCUUAUCCUUUGUUGCCAGCGGUUCGGCCGGGAACUCAAAGGAGACUGCCAGUGAUAAACUGGAGGAAGGUGGGGAUGACGUCAAGUCAUCAUGGCCCUUACGAGUAGGGCUACACACGUGCUACAAUGGCAUAUACAAAGAGAAGCGACCUCGCGAGAGCAAGCGGACCUCAUAAAGUAUGUCGUAGUCCGGAUUGGAGUCUGCAACUCGACUCCAUGAAGUCGGAAUCGCUAGUAAUCGUAGAUCAGAAUGCUACGGUGAAUACGUUCCCGGGCCUUGUACACACCGCCCGUCACACCAUGGGAGUGGGUUGCAAAAGAAGUAGGUAGCUUANCCUUCGGGAGGGCGCUUACCA